Molecule: ribosomal RNA, 492 nt
Filed under: uncultured bacterium
Lineage: Bacteria
Description: partial 16S ribosomal RNA
Rfam family: Bacterial small subunit ribosomal RNA
Source: RNAcentral
AGUGAACGCUGGCGGUAGGCCUAACACAUGCAAGUCGAACGGCCGCACCGUAAGAGCUUGCUCUUACGUGUGGCGAGUGUCGGACGGGUGAGGAAUACAUCGGAAUAUACUUUUUCGUGGGUGAUAACGUGGGGAAACUUACGCUAAUACCGCAUACGACCUACUGGUGAAAGCAGGGGACCUUCGGACCUUGCGCGAUUGAUUGAGCCAAUGUCGGCUGAGCUAGUUGGCGGGGUAAAGGCCUACCAAGGCGACGAUCCGUAGGUGGUCUGAGAGCAUCGUCCGCCAGACUGGAACUGAGACACGGCCCCGACUCCUACGGGAGGCAGCAGCGGGGAAUAUUGGACAAUGGGCGAAAGCCGGAUCCAGCCAUACCGCGUAGGUGAAGACGGACUUCGGGUUGGAGAGCCCUUUUGUUCGGAAAGAAAAGCAGCAGUUUAAUCCCCCGCUGUUCUGACGGUACCCAAAGAAUAAGCCCCGGCUAACUUCGUG